RNAcentral lists this ribosomal RNA (274 nucleotides) under uncultured bacterium. Its description in RNAcentral is "partial 16S ribosomal RNA". It matches the Rfam family "Bacterial small subunit ribosomal RNA", at positions 523 to 796 of the family's 1533-position model. The record is from RNAcentral.
AGACGGAGGUGGCAAACGCUAUUCGGAAUUACUGGGCGUAAAGCGCGCGUAGGCGGUUUGGUAAGUCGGAUGUGAAAGCCCCGGGCUCAACCUGGGAAUUGCAUCCGAUACUGCCUGACUAGAGUAUGGUAGAGGCAAGUGGAAUUCCCGGUGUAGCGGGGAAAUGCGUAGAUAGCGGGAGGAACACCAGUGGCGAAGGCGGCUUGCUGGACCAAUACUGACGCUGAGGUGCGAAAGCGUGGGGAGCAAACAGGAUUAGAAACCCUAGUAGUCC